This 682-nucleotide ribosomal RNA is filed under the name Placozoa sp. H17 HM-2017. RNAcentral describes it as "partial 16S ribosomal RNA". It matches the Rfam family "Bacterial large subunit ribosomal RNA", at positions 1988 to 2471 of the family's 2925-position model. The record is from RNAcentral. Lineage: Eukaryota; Metazoa; Placozoa.
CUGUAUGAAUGGCUUAACGAGGGCUCCACUGUCUCAAUAAUAAACCGGGUGAAAUUGGAAAAACGGUAAAGAUACCGUAAAGGAAUUCUAAGACGAGAAGACCCCAUUGAGCUUUACUAUUAACUUGUAUUGCCAAAGCAAAUAAAAGGGAACUUUCCCUUGCUUUAUAAUAAAAUUGAGUAGACUAAGUGGGAAAAAAGGGAUGUUAGUCCCCUUUUUAUGGCCGAUUCAUUGGAUUGGGCCCCCAAAAGAUACCUUUUGGGGCCAUUGGCGUAGAGAGGGGGGAUCCGAUUUUCGGAUCGGCGCCGAAGGCGCCCAACCCUACUCGAUUUUUAUGAAAAACCACUCUUUUUAUUAGGAUUACUGGCUAAAACCGUACAAGUAAGGUAGUUUGGUUGGGGCGACCGCCUUCGAAAAAGUAUCGAAGGCGUACAUAAGAUUAAUCCGGGGGGGGUGUCCUUUUUUCACCCCCAAACAAACCGGGGGUAAUGCCCCAAAAAAGAUUAGUUUGACUGAGAGGGCUACAACCCGAACAGGCGCUUUUAGGUUGGGGCCCGGUUUUUACCAAGGGGCCUAAUUGACCAGCGGGCUCCUUUUUAGUCCGGGUCGAACCUAGCGGGUCAUAGUGAUCCGUUGUUAUAUUGUGGGAUAGACAACGAUCAACGAAGAAAAGUUACCAUGG